CGCGAAUGGCUCAUUACAACAGCUAUAAUUUACUUGAUCUUGACACUAUCCUACUUGGAUAACUGUGGUAAUUCUAGAGCUAAUACAUGCAUUAAAGCUCUGACCUCACGGGAAGAGUGCAUUUAUUAGAACAAAACCAAGCGACUUCGGUCGUCUUUUGUUGACUCAGAAUAACUAAGCUGAUCGCAUGGUCUUGUACCGGCGACGUGUCUUUCAAGUAUCUGCCUUAUCAACUUUCGAUGGUAGUGUAUCUGACUACCAUGGUUGUGACGGGUAACGGAGGAUAAGGGUUCGACUCCGGAGAAGGGGCCUGAGAAAUGGCCACUACGUCUAAGGAUGGCAGCAGGCGCGCAAAUUACCCACUCUCAGAACGAGGAGGUAGUGACGAGAAAUAACGAGACCGUUCUCUACGAGGCCGGUCAUCGGAAUGGGUACAAUCUAAACCCUUUAACGAGUAUCUAUGAGAGGGCAAGUCUGGUGCCAGCAGCCGCGGUAAUUCCAGCU
RNAcentral lists this ribosomal RNA (504 nucleotides) under Aglenchus agricola. Its description in RNAcentral is "SSU rRNA". It matches the Rfam family "Eukaryotic small subunit ribosomal RNA", at positions 88 to 590 of the family's 1831-position model. The record is from RNAcentral. Lineage: Eukaryota; Metazoa; Nematoda; Chromadorea; Rhabditida; Tylenchidae.